GACGAACGCUGGCGGCGUGCCUAAUACAUGCAAGUCGAGCGAAGUUUUUCUGGUGCUUGCACUAGAAAAACUUAGCGGCGCACGGGUGAGUCACACGUAAAGAACCUGCCUCAUAGACUGGGACAACUAUUGGAAACGAUAGCUAAUCCCGGAUAACAGUAUUUCUCGCAUGAGAGAUAUUUAAAAGUUGGUUAUGCUAACACUAUGAGAUGGCCUUGCGGUGCAUUAGCUAGUUGGUGGGGUAAAGGCCCACCAAGGCGACGAUGCAUAGCCGACCUGAGAGGGUGAUCGGCCACACUGGGACUGAGACACGGCCCAGACUCCUACGGGAGGCAGCAGUAGGGAAUCUUCCGCAAUGGGCGAAAGCCUGACGGAGCAACGCCGCGUGAGUGAAGAAGGAUUUCGGUUCGUAAAGCUCUGUUGUUAGGGAAGAAUGGAUGUGUAGUAACUAUACAUGUAAGAGACGGUACCUAACCAGAAAGCCACGGCUAACUACGUG
Molecule: ribosomal RNA, 499 nt
Filed under: uncultured bacterium
Lineage: Bacteria
Description: partial 16S ribosomal RNA
Rfam family: Bacterial small subunit ribosomal RNA
Source: RNAcentral